GGUUGAUCCUGCCAGUAGUCAUAUGCUUGUCUCAAAGAUUAAGCCAUGCAUGUCUAAGUAUAAACAUCUUUAUACAGUGAAACUGCGUACAGCUCAUUAUAUCAGUAAUGAUUUAUUUGAUGGUACCUUACUACAUGGAUAACCGUAGUAAUUCUAGAGCUAAUACAUGCGUACAGUCCCGACUUUCGCGGAAGGGAUGUAUUUAUUAGAUAAAAAAUCAAUGCGGUUUCGGCCGGUCAUUUGGUGAUUCAUAAUAACUACUCGAAUCGCAUGGCUUUACGCUGGCGAUAGUU
This 293-nucleotide ribosomal RNA is filed under the name uncultured eukaryote. Its description in RNAcentral is "partial 18S ribosomal RNA". It matches the Rfam family "Eukaryotic small subunit ribosomal RNA", at positions 6 to 295 of the family's 1831-position model. The record is from RNAcentral.